Non-coding RNA from Cyanistes caeruleus (blue tit), 2410 nucleotides. The record is from RefSeq and is a predicted model, not a curated record. NCBI's taxonomy places the organism in Eukaryota, Metazoa, Chordata, Aves, Passeriformes, Paridae.
CGCGGUGAUGGCGGCUCGGCCCGGACGGGAAGGGACGGGAGAGAGGCUUCGCUUCACAAACCCCGCUGGGAUGGCCGGUCCUGGUGUCCCCGCAGGACUCUAGGGAGCAGCAAGACAGGCUGGUGGGAAUGAGCAGAAUAAUCCCGAGGUGGUAGAUGAGAUGUAUCAGAAGCUCCAGAGCUUUGUAGCUACUGGAGCCGCAGGAUGUCUCGUCUGGCAGGAGGUGCGGGCCUACAGUGCAAUAAAAGCUCGGAGCAGCGCCGAAGAAGCGGUGGGAGUGGGACAGCAGCAACCUGUCUACCAGCAGGGCAGGGAGAGCUCAAGAUCCUGGGCACCCAAGCAGACCAGACAGGGAUAAAUCCCUCUUUUAGUGAGGUAGCUGUUAAUAAGGUCCCAGUCUAAAGGCCACAGAAAGGAAGAGGCAGUACAGGACUGGGCUCUGCUGAUGACUGUGAAUUCUCACCACGGUGAGCAGCAAUUUGCCUGACGUCCUCCUAUGCCCAGAGUGAGAGGAGACUAGCCUCUGGCCCCUGCCCAUUCCUCACAGUGUGUCUCCCUCUUGGAGAGGAAUUCCCAAAAAGAGAAGUGUAUCCAGAUGCCGUCCUCCCUCCUGAACUUGGCUACCUCUUUGUUUUCUUAAGUACCCGAUAACCACCUGCUGAAACCCUAAAGACCUGUUAGUAGGUCAGUGGGAUGGGUCAAGAGAUGGGUUAUGCCUACGAACUCCUCCUCUGCCAUUUCCUGAUUGCAUUCGUUUUAAUCCUGUGAACAGAAUGUCCAGGCUGAACAAAUCCCCACUCUUGAUAAUGCAUCAAGAAAUUGACAAAGACGCAGGUUGUCAAAGACAUAUGACUUGGGCUAGAAUCUUUGUGAAUUCCACAAGGUUCAAACUUAGUCUUGCAUAUGAAAGGUUGUAGUUGCCGAGGAACUACAUCUGUCUACACAAUAGAGCAUUCACAAACUAUUGAAGAAUACUUUUUGUAUUAUCAUCUAACAAAAAACUCUACAUACUUUUCUGUUUACUGCCAAGAAAAGACAAAGAGCUCUGUACUGGUUUUGUAUUACUGAUAUUUGGUGAGGAGGGAAGAAGCCACCCAUGGACGUGAUCUUUCUGGGAGAGGCUUCUGUGAGCUUCCUCUGUGCCUGGGAAGGACCAGAGACCUGCUGGCUCUGAGAAUCGGCAACCUAUUAAACCACUUAGAAGCUAGAUCCGCUUCUGUGAAUUCUACAUUUUAAAGAUGGGCAAGCCCAGGAAAUCUCUCUCUCUUGCUUCCGGUCUUGAAAGGUAACUGGGCUCUGGUUGGGUUCUGCCAUGGUGCAUGCGGUCUGGUGGGGCUGGGCUGGACCCCAGCAGUGGCUGGGCAGGGGAUGGGAGGUCACAGGGCCCCGGCUGCUGACAUCUUGCUGACACCAAGCCCUGUCCCACUGCUGCUGACCCAUGCUGAGCUGGGGUCCCCUGGGCCCUGGGACCGGCUCCAGACUGGGCCAGGCCCCCUCCACUGCAGCCCCAGCGGCUGCUGGGCAGAGAGAGGGCCCCAGUGCAGCCUGAAAUCCAUCACCGUGACUGCUUCAGCCACUGCCCAGCAGAAACCAUCAUGACCAUCUGCAGGCCUGGGUGAGAUAUUAAACUUUUCACUGCACAGAGGAGACCUGCAGACUUUGAUCGUCCCUCAGGUGAGAGAAAAGGACAGAGUGAUGACAAGUGGAAGACAACAUGAAGACACCAAGGUCAGUAAAGAAGGAAUCAAGUCCCAGAUAGAAGAAGAAUGAGGAGAUGCCCAAGUAUUGGCAUCCAUGGCAUCCAUGGAGAUGGACUGUGAUACACUGGAAUAUCCUCUUUAAUUCACGAUAAAGUAUGGGGGAAUGGAAUAUUCAAACUAGAUGUGAGCAGAGGCAUCCAUAGUGAAGCAAAGCAGAUGUUGAAGUAGCUUUGGUCCCAUGAGAAGCUUGAACAGAGAGAGAGAUGAGAGUGAUGAAGGGCCUUUGCCCCCAGGGAAAGAAGAAGACGUCUGUUUCUAGAGAUGAAGAUGAUCUCAUAGAUAAAUGAAGAGAACCUUUGCUUUUGAACAACUUGUCUGUAAAAUAAUACCUUGUAAGUUUACAUGGCCCGUUAGCUCAGCAGUGGGAAGGCUGUGAAAAUGGGAGGAGUUUCACAAUUGCAGAUUUUUUUCCCAGGCAGCUGCUUUCCAUGGAAAUUAAAAGCCAUGAGAGAACUGUUUCUUGUGGAGAAGUGUCAAUAACAUGGCCUGGUGAGAGAAAACUCCUCUCCCCACUAGAACUGAUGAAAGAUUGUUGUAGAGGUGGUAACUACUUGAAAAAUCCCAGGUUUUGUCUCUAUGCUGUCAGUUGGGAAAGAAAAUAAGUUGGGUAGGGGGAUGAAAAGUAAAUCUGAAAGGUUUAUUCUAAUUCU